This 69-nucleotide transfer RNA is filed under the name Trigonidium sjostedti. RNAcentral's name for it is "tRNA-Gln". Lineage: Eukaryota; Metazoa; Arthropoda; Insecta; Orthoptera; Trigonidiidae. The record is from RNAcentral.
UACAUUAUAGUGUAGGAUGCACGUAAAUUUUUGAUGUUUAAAGGAAUAGUUUAAUUCUAUUGGGUGUAA